This 2136-nucleotide ribosomal RNA is filed under the name Streptococcus pneumoniae. RNAcentral describes it as "23S ribosomal RNA". It matches the Rfam family "Bacterial large subunit ribosomal RNA", at positions 785 to 2925 of the family's 2925-position model. Lineage: Bacteria; Bacillati; Bacillota; Bacilli; Lactobacillales; Streptococcaceae. The record is from RNAcentral.
CACGUUGAAAAGUGCGGGGAUGAGGUGUGGGUAGCGGAGAAAUUCCAAUCGAACCUGGAGAUAGCUGGUUCUCCCCGAAAUAGCUUUAGGGCUAGCCUUAAGUGUAAGAGUCUUGGAGGUAGAGCACUGAUUGGACUAGGGGUCCUCAUCGGAUUACCGAAUUCAGUCAAACUCCGAAUGCCAAUGACUUAUCCUUAGGAGUCAGACUGCGAGUGAUAAGAUCCGUAGUCAAAAGGGAAACAGCCCAGACCGCCAGCUAAGGUCCCAAAGUGUGUAUUAAGUGGAAAAGGAUGUGGAGUUGCUUAGACAACUAGGAUGUUGGCUUAGAAGCAGCCACCAUUUAAAGAGUGCGUAAUAGCUCACUAGUCGAGUGACUCUGCGCCGAAAAUGUACCGGGGCUAAAUACACCACCGAAGCUGCGGAUUGAUACCAAUGGUAUCAGUGGUAGGGGAGCGUUCUAAGGACAGUGAAGUCAGACCGGAAGGACUGGUGGAGUGCUUAGAAGUGAGAAUGCCGGUAUGAGUAGCGAAAGACGGGUGAGAAUCCCGUCCACCGAAUGCCUAAGGUUUCCUGAGGAAGGCUCGUCCGCUCAGGGUUAGUCAGGACCUAAGCCGAGGCCGACAGGCGUAGGCGAUGGACAACAGGUUGAUAUUCCUGUACCACCUCUUUAUCGUUUGAGCAAUGGAGGGACGCAGAAGGAUAGAAGAAGCGUGCGAUUGGUUGUGCACGUCCAAGCAGUUAGGCUGAUAAGUAGGCAAAUCCGCUUAUCGUAAAGGCUGAGCUGUGAUGGGGAAGCUCCUUAUGGAGCGAAGUCUUUGAUUCCCCGCUGCCAAGAAAAGCUUCUAGCGAGAUAAAAGGUGCCUGUACCGCAAACCGACACAGGUAGGCGAGGAGAGAAUCCUAAGGUGUGCGAGAGAACUCUGGUUAAGGAACUCGGCAAAAUGACCCCGUAACUUCGGGAGAAGGGGUGCUUUCUUAACGGAAAGCCGCAGUGAAUAGGCCCAAGCGACUGUUUAGCAAAAACACAGCUCUCUGCGAAGCCGUAAGGCGAAGUAUAGGGGGUGACACCUGCCCGGUGCUGGAAGGUUAAGGAGAGGGGUUAGCGUAAGCGAAGCUCUGAACUGAAGCCCCAGUAAACGGCGGCCGUAACUAUAACGGUCCUAAGGUAGCGAAAUUCCUUGUCGGGUAAGUUCCGACCCGCACGAAAGGCGUAAUGAUUUGGGCACUGUCUCAACCAGAGACUCGGUGAAAUUAUAGUACCUGUGAAGAUGCAGGUUACCCGCGACAGGACGGAAAGACCCCGUGGAGCUUUACUGUAGCCUGAUAUUGAAUUUUGGUACAGUUUGUACAGGAUAGGCGGGAGCCAUUGAAACCGGAGCGCUAGCUUCGGUGGAGGCGCUGGUGGGAUACCGCCCUGACUGUAUUGAAAUUCUAACCUACGGGUCUUAUCGACCCGGGAGACAGUGUCAGGUGGGCAGUUUGACUGGGGCGGUCGCCUCCUAAAGUGUAACGGAGGCGCCCAAAGGUUCCCUCAGAAUGGUUGGAAAUCAUUCGUAGAGUGCAAAGGCAUAAGGGAGCUUGACUGCGAGACCUACAAGUCGAGCAGGGACGAAAGUCGGGCUUAGUGAUCCGGUGGUUCCGCAUGGAAGGGCCAUCGCUCAACGGAUAAAAGCUACCCCGGGGAUAACAGGCUUAUCUCCCCCAAGAGUCCACAUCGACGGGGAGGUUUGGCACCUCGAUGUCGGCUCAUCGCAUCCUGGGGCUGUAGUCGGUCCCAAGGGUUGGGCUGUUCGCCCAUUAAAGCGGCACGCGAGCUGGGUUCAGAACGUCGUGAGACAGUUCGGUCCCUAUCCGUCGCGGGCGUAGGAAAUUUGAGAGGAUCUGCUCCUAGUACGAGAGGACCAGAGUGGACUUACCGCUGGUGUACCAGUUGUCUUGCCAAAGGCAUCGCUGGGUAGCUAUGUAGGGAAGGGAUAAACGCUGAAAGCAUCUAAGUGUGAAACCCACCUCAAGAUGAGAUUUCCCAUGAUUAUAUAUCAGUAAGAGCCCUGAGAGAUGAUCAGGUAGAUAGGUUAGAAGUGGAAGUGUGGCGACACAUGUAGCGGACUAAUACUAAUAGCUCGAGGACUUAUCCAA